CCAAUAUUCUAUAAAAGACGACAUAUCUCAGGCGAUACCAACAGUUUUCUUCAUAUUUCGUUACAAUCCAGUUUGUGAAUAUGAAACUAUUUAUUCAGAUGGCUUUAUGUCUUAUUUCUCUCGCUGUGCCUUCGAUGGCUGCCCCGUGGUAUGGCAAGGGGAAAGGACACGGACACGGUGGACACGGUGGACACGGAGGAGGUGGACAUGGAGGAGGUGGACAUGAAGGAGGAAAAGGGGGAGGAUUUGGAGGAAUUACGCUUCAAGGGCCAGACAUUGUGUUCCAAUUCGAUCCACUUGACGAAGUUUAUGCGAAUGAUCCUAUUGACAUGUAUUAUAUAUGAAAAAAAAAAAUAAAAUAAAAUAAACUGCAGGCAAAAUAUAACUGUAUUCUUUACUUUUCAGAUAUCUAAAAUGAUCGCAAUUAUUUUUACUACGAAUGAUGCAACAUUUUGUUUGAUACGUAAUGCUGGGCUAAUCAACACAAUAUCGCAUUUGCUUUGUCCAGAAAUUUCCUAGGCACAGAAGUUUCUUGUUAAUUUUUCUUUAUUUACAAUUUUAAAAUGCACGUUAAUAAAUUAUCCUUAGAAGUAGGUGAUUCGUUAUCCAAACAGGUAGUAGAUAUCUUAUAUUGGAGGACACUCUAUUGAAAUUUUACUACCGUUAUUUUUCACAGCCGAUCUUGGACAUGUGUGUGUAAGUAUAAAGCUAUUAUAACGAAUAUAUUACGUAUAUAACUACAACGAAAUUCAGUAAGUUUAAUUUAAUAUUUUCGUCUCGGAAUUCUUUAAUACGCAAAAAAAAAUGCGUGCAAAUUUCAAUUAAGUUACUUCUGUGUAGGUAUUUCCAAUAUUCUAUAAAAGACGACAUAUCUCAGGCGAUACCAACAGUUUUCUUUAUAUUUCUUUACAAUCCAGUUUGUUAAUAUGAAACUAUUUAUUCUGCUCGCUUUGUGCCUAACUUAUCUCGCUGUUCCUUUGUUUCCAUUUAGAGGAAAUAAUAUAGACGGUAUGCGGCCAUAUCCACCUCCAGGACGUGAAUUAGAAGAAGGACAAUGAUAGAAAAUGAAUCGAGUUUUGAAGUUUUAAAAUAUUUGCAAUUAUGUUUAAUUUUGGCUA
RNA transcript from Drosophila albomicans, 1118 nucleotides. It is a transcript of the gene named holotricin-3-like, with no coding region annotated. The record is from RefSeq and is a predicted model, not a curated record. The transcript has 3 exons. Lineage: Eukaryota; Metazoa; Arthropoda; Insecta; Diptera; Drosophilidae.